AAUUUAUUAUAUCAAAAAUAUUCACACAUAUCUUUGAUGAUAUGACAAAAACACUAUCCUUUUCCAUUUACAUAAUCUACACACGUUUUUGAAAUAUAACGUAAUUAUGCUAUAAAUGUCAUAUGUACAAGAUAGUAUGGUGAUCGCUUUUCUAAAUAUAUAUGUGUUACUUGUAUAUAAUAUAAUACUUCCAUUUAUUUGUCGUUUUCAGAUAAAAUGCACUAAUCAAUAACUCGACACAUAGUAACAUAAUACGCUUUUUGUGUGAUAUAACCAUGCUGCAUGUUGUUGUUUUUUUUUAGGAAUUAUCAAUUCAACAAAGUUUUAACUUAAGAAUAAUUUAAAUACACGUUGUGAUUUCAUAUAAAUGUUUAAGAGAAAGUUUGAAUUAUUCAAAUGCUAAUUUAGUUCGUUCAACAAGACGACAUCUAACGUAUUUUAAGAAAGGAAAAUUAUAAGUUAUACACUGUCACUUCUACAGCAGGUGUGUAAUAUAGAUUUUUUUUUAAUUCAUAACAAACAUAAAUUGAAUAAAUAUGUAUGACUAGUAAAUGUAUACUACUUUAAUAUAUUCAAAUUCCAUGUUUG
This 588-nucleotide long non-coding RNA is filed under the name Mytilus galloprovincialis (Mediterranean mussel). The record is from RNAcentral. Lineage: Eukaryota; Metazoa; Mollusca; Bivalvia; Mytilida; Mytilidae.